GGGGCGGGACAGAUGGCUGCCGGGGCGCAAGCCCCGGAGGAAAGUCCGGCCACCACAAGGCAGGAAUGCGGGUAACGCCCGCCGGGGGCAACCCCAGGGGCAGGCAACAGAGAACAGACCGCCAACCGGGCGAAAGCCCGGGGCAAGGGUGAAACGGUGGGGUAAGAGCCCACCGCGUCGACGGCAACGCCGACGGCACGGCGACUGUCCUUCCGGUGCAAGCGCAAAUAGGGGACAAGCGGGAAGUUUUUCCGCGCGGGGCCGCCUGUCCCGCCAUAAGUCCCGGGUAGCGUGCUUGAGGCGGGCGGCGACGCCCGUCCCAGAUAAAUAGCCAUCCCCGACAGAAGCCGGCUUACCGUUCCGCCCCGCGU
Molecule: RNase P RNA, 371 nt
Filed under: Planctomycetota bacterium
Lineage: Bacteria; Pseudomonadati; Planctomycetota
Description: RNase P RNA component class A
Rfam family: Bacterial RNase P class A
About the family: Ribonuclease P (RNase P) is a ubiquitous endoribonuclease, found in archaea, bacteria and eukarya as well as chloroplasts and mitochondria. Its best characterised activity is the generation of mature 5'-ends of tRNAs by cleaving the 5'-leader elements of precursor-tRNAs. Cellular RNase Ps are ribonucleoproteins.
Source: RNAcentral